Molecule: ribosomal RNA, 688 nt
Filed under: uncultured bacterium
Lineage: Bacteria
Description: bacterial SSU rRNA
Rfam family: Bacterial small subunit ribosomal RNA
Source: RNAcentral
AGUGGCGUACGGGUGCGUAACGCGUAUGCACCUACCUUCAUCAGGGGGAUAGCCCGAAGAAAUUCGGAUUAACACCGCAUAAAAUAGCAUUAUCAAAUAUUUAUAGGAUGGAGAUGGGCAUGCGUGUCAUUAGCUAGUUGGUAAGGUAACGGCUUACCAAGGCGACGAUGACUAGGGGAUCUGAGAGGAUGACCCCCCACACUGGUACUGAGACACGGACCAGACUCCUACGGGAGGCAGCAGUAAGGAAUAUUGGUCAAUGGAGGCAACUCUGAACCAGCCAUGCCGCGUGCAGGAAGACUGCCUAUGGGUUGUAAACUGCUUUUAUACGGGAAUAAACCUUGGUUCGUGAACCAAGCUGAAUGUACCGUAAGAAUAAGGAUCGGCUAACUCCGUGCCAGCAGCCGCGGUAAUACGGAGGAUCCAAGCGUUAUCCGGAUUUAUUGGGUUUAAAGGGAGCGUAGGCGGCCUAUUAAGUCAGGGGUGAAAGACGGCAGCUUAACUGUCGCAGUGCCUUUGAUACUGAUAGGCUUGAAUGUAGUUGAGGUGGGCGGAAUGUGACAAGUAGCGGUGAAAUGCAUAGAUAUGUCACAGAACACCGAUUGCGAAGGCAGCUCACUAAGCUAUGAUUGACGCUGAGCUCGAAGCGUGGGGAUCAAACAGAAUUAGAUACCCUGGUAGGCCACGG